UACGUAGGGUGCGAGCGUUAAUCGGAAUUACUGGGCGUAAAGUGUGCGCAGGUGGCUGAGCAAGUCGAGUGUGAAAUCCCCGGGCUUAACUUGGGAAUUGCGCUCGGAACUACUUGGCUCGAGUGUGGCAGAGGAAGGUGGAAUUCCAGGUGUAGCGGUGAAAUGCGUAGAGAUCUGGAGGAACACCGAUGGCGAAGGCAGCCUUCUGGGCCAACACUGACGCUCAUGCACGAAAGCGUGGGGAGCAAACAGG
RNAcentral lists this ribosomal RNA (253 nucleotides) under uncultured bacterium. RNAcentral's name for it is "partial 16S ribosomal RNA". It matches the Rfam family "Bacterial small subunit ribosomal RNA", at positions 524 to 776 of the family's 1533-position model. The record is from RNAcentral.